GACGAACGCUGGCGGCGUGCUUAACACAUGCAAGUCGAACGAUGAACCCGGAGCUUGCUCCGGUGGAUUAGUGGCGAACGGGUGAGUAACACGUGAGUAACCUGCCCUUGACUCUGGGAUAACUGCGGGAAACUGUAGCUAAUACCGGAUACGACCCUCGGCGGCAUCGCCAGGGGGUGGAAAGAAUUUCGGUCAAGGAUGGACUCGCGGCCUAUCAGCUAGUUGGUGAGGUAACGGCUCACCAAGGGGACGCGGGGUAGCCGGCCUGAGAGGGUGACCGGCCACACUGGGACUGAGACACGGCCCAGACUCCUACGGGAGGCAGCAGUGGGGAAUAUUGCACAAUGGGCGCAAGCCUGAUGCAGCAACGCCGCGUGAGGGGUGACGGCCUUCGGGUUGUAAACCUCUUUUAGUAGGGAAGAAGCGAAAGUGACGGUACCUGCAGAAAAAGCACCGGCUAACUACGUGCCAGCCGCCGCCGUAA
RNAcentral lists this ribosomal RNA (484 nucleotides) under uncultured bacterium. RNAcentral's name for it is "partial 16S ribosomal RNA". It matches the Rfam family "Bacterial small subunit ribosomal RNA", at positions 28 to 523 of the family's 1533-position model. The record is from RNAcentral.